RNAcentral lists this non-coding RNA (250 nucleotides) under Bacillus sp. (in: firmicutes). RNAcentral's name for it is "Bacillus sp. T-box sequence". It matches the Rfam family "T-box leader". From Rfam's summary of the family: Uncharged tRNA acts as the effector for transcription antitermination of genes in the T-box leader family. T-boxes are found upstream of many aminoacyl-tRNA synthetase genes and some amino acid biosynthetic genes usually in Gram-positive bacteria. Lineage: Bacteria; Bacillati; Bacillota; Bacilli; Caryophanales; Bacillaceae. The record is from RNAcentral.
UAACAAGCGUUGACGAAGAAGAGUAGCUUUAAUGAAUGCUUCAGAGAGCUGAUGGUUGGUGAGAAUCAGUGCAGACAUUUUAGUGAAUGGCCUUCCGAGCUUCCGUACCGAACUCCUUUGGACAGUAGGCUGCGGCGAACGUCUUAUCGUUACAAAAGACAGGCAUUCAAGCAGUAAGCUUCGAUGCUAUUAGAGUGGAUUGCACGAACUGCAAUCAAUAAAGGUGGUACCACGGCUCCCCGUCCUUUGC